RNAcentral lists this ribosomal RNA (484 nucleotides) under uncultured bacterium. RNAcentral describes it as "partial 16S ribosomal RNA". It matches the Rfam family "Bacterial small subunit ribosomal RNA", at positions 30 to 507 of the family's 1533-position model. The record is from RNAcentral.
AUUGAACGCUGGCGGCAGGCCUAACACAUGCAAGUCGAGCGGAUGAAGGGAGCUUGCUCCUGGAUUCAGCGGCGGACGGGUGAGUAAUGCCUAGGAAUCUGCCUGGUAGUGGGGGAUAACGUCCGGAAACGGGCGCUAAUACCGCAUACGUCCUGAGGGAGAAAGUGGGGGAUCUUCGGACCUCACGCUAUCAGAUGAGCCUAGGUCGGAUUAGCUAGUUGGUGGGGUAAAGGCCUACCAAGGCGACGAUCCGUAACUGGUCUGAGAGGAUGAUCAGUCACACUGGAACUGAGACACGGUCCAGACUCCUACGGGAGGCAGCAGUGGGGAAUAUUAGACAAUGGGGGAAAGCCUGAUCCAGCCAUGCCGCGUGUGUGAAGAAGGUCUUCGGAUUGUAAAGCACUUUAAGUUGGGAGGAAGGGCAGUAAGUUAAUACCUUGCUGUUUUGACGUUACCAACAGAAUAAGCACCGGCUAACUUCGUG